AUACGUAGGGUGCAAGCGUUAAUCGGAAUUACUGGGCGUAAAGCGUGCGCAGGCGGUUUUGUCAGACCGAGGAGAAAUCCCCGGGCUCCACCUGGGAACUGCCUUUGUGAGUGCAAGGAUAGAGGACGGCAGAGGGGGGUGGGAUUCCGCGUGUAGCAAUGAAAUGCGUAGAUAUGCGGAGGAACACCGAUGGCGAAGGCAAUCCCCUGGGCCUGUACUGACGCUCAUGCACGAAAGCGUGGGGAGCAAACAGGAUUAGAUACCCUGGUAGUCCACGCCCUAAACGAUGUCAACUGGUUGUUGGGUCUUCAUUGACUCAGGAACGAAGCUAACGCGUGAAGUUGACCGCCUGGGGAGUACGGCCGCAAGGUUGAAACUCAAAUGAAUUGACGGGG
RNAcentral lists this ribosomal RNA (395 nucleotides) under uncultured bacterium. Its description in RNAcentral is "partial 16S ribosomal RNA". It matches the Rfam family "Bacterial small subunit ribosomal RNA", at positions 523 to 918 of the family's 1533-position model. The record is from RNAcentral.